CAUACUGCUUUAAUGAUAUGCUAUGUGGUUCGUAACGACAGCGUAGCUAACAAAUUGUCAGCCAACAUAACGUGUAAGGUAACUUAUUUGAAAAGUCAUUACUGUAUUACAUUGAGUAGCAAGCUAUCUCUUGGUCGUUAGGGCAAAUCUGGUCUGUGAUAGGUGGAUUUCACACCUAGCUCGGCUAUUAGACUAUUCUUUAGUAAAAGGUUUAAUAGUCCAUUGUUCAGCUAUUAGCUCCCCUCCCCAACUUGCAACAAACUGUUGUUACUCCCAUCUCGUUCCUCACCCUCUUCCACAUGUCAUUCUGUGGGCGUGCUGGCAGGAUAUGGAAGCACCUUCGGUUGUGCGUCAAGAAUUCUGCAGAGCAAGUUUGUAUGACUGUCUGGUUAUUCACAGGCAAAUUGUUAUGUGCUAUGGAGCUACAUGUGUCUUUUUGUCGAGAGCAAAACCUUUGACAAUAACUGUUCUGAAAGCAACUUUUUCCAAUUCAAAGGAAGUCAUAGCGGACCUCUACAAAGGACUGUGAGAUGAUGGCAUCUCAGGUAACCAACACUGGGCAGUCCUCCAUCCAACUUUCACAUAUCUCCUAUGAUUCAGUGUCGAGUGCGAGCUGAUCAAGGGGUCGAAAAUGUAGAUAUUGCCAGAUGUUCACUGUCCGAGGAACAGGCCGUGGAAGCUUUAUUGCUGCCAAAAGUGUCCGUAACCAGAGGUAGUUAAACUGUUUUGUGUUCUUUUUCUCUUCCUCUCUGCCUGUCUUGUUGUACAUGGAACCUGUCUCACAUGCAUUCAUAUUUUUUUUUUUUAAAGAUGCUGCUAAAUUACAGAUUUACACCACAUAAACACUCAGACAUUUUUCAUUGGACUGUCUGUUGCUGCCAAGUCAUGAUUUCCCUGGGGGUUAGCCUUGCAAUAACCAAGUGGUGAGACAUAGCCCUCUAUAUUUAAACGUUUCAGGUUUACUCCGAUAGAGGUUAUGGAAUGCAUGUGAUGCAGACACCUCAGAGCCACACACAACUUGCAUUUCUAUAACCUCGGACCCACCUCAGCAUUCACUAUUCAUGUAGGAAGACCACAGGACCACGGAGAUUUGAGUGGAACACUAAUGGAGAGAUGUUUGGAGUGCUGUGACAUGUCAGUACUACAACUUACUGCAGUUUGGAGGAAGGAUACCUUGACCUGUCGAAUUCUAUCCACCUGUUCUGUGUGGGAUAUGUGUUCCUACCUUUUCAGAGAGUUGGAAUAAUCACCCUUUAAGGUUAUAUCAGCUGUGUUGGUAAACCCAUCCCGCAUCUGAACUGGCUGACACAGAGGGCACAACACAAUCAUAGGUGGGAGGUCACUUGGUCGGGUCAACAAGGAAGUAUUAUUAAAGAGAUGCUUUACAUUGAAAUACAGAGAUGUAGUAGUCCCGGAGUUAAUGAUCCAAGGUAUGUUUUGAUAUGAGAGAGGAAGCCAGUCACGUCAUUGCCACCUCACCCACUCUUAACUUGUUAUGGCUGCAAUCCCCCUAUCGGGAUAAGUGUCAUCAACAACCGCUGAAUAGCAUAGCGCUACAUACAGUAAAU
This is a long non-coding RNA of Oncorhynchus tshawytscha (Chinook salmon), 1568 nucleotides long. RefSeq lists it as uncharacterized. The transcript is spliced from 4 exons. The record is from RefSeq and is a predicted model, not a curated record. Lineage: Eukaryota; Metazoa; Chordata; Actinopteri; Salmoniformes; Salmonidae.